This 351-nucleotide ribosomal RNA is filed under the name uncultured bacterium. Its description in RNAcentral is "bacterial SSU rRNA". It matches the Rfam family "Bacterial small subunit ribosomal RNA", at positions 22 to 356 of the family's 1533-position model. The record is from RNAcentral.
GCUCAGGACGAACGCUGGCGGCGUGCUUAACACAUGCAAGUCGAACGGGAAACCUUUUAUUGAAGCUUCGGCAGAUUUAGCUGGUUUCUAGUGGCGGACGGGUGAGUAACGCGUGGGUAACCUGCCUUAUACAGGGGGAUAACAACCAGAAAUGGUUGCUAAUACCGCAUAAGCGCACAGGACCGCAUGGUCCGGUGUGAAAAACUCCGGUGGUAUAAGAUGGACCCGCGUUGGAUUAGCUAGUUGGCAGGGUAACAGCCUACCAAGGCGACGAUCCAUAGCCGGCCUGAGAGGGUGAACGGCCACAUUGGGACUGAGACACGGCCCAGACUCCUACGGGAGGCAGCAGUA